UGGUGCGGUGGCGUGUCUUCCUAAUCGAGCUAACGAACGAGCUCCUCACCUACUAAAUAGUUGUGCGAACCUUCGGGUUUGUUGCGAACUUCUUAGAGGGACUACUGGUGCUCAGCCAGAGGAAGUUGAGGGCGAUAACA
Molecule: ribosomal RNA, 140 nt
Filed under: uncultured eukaryote
Lineage: Eukaryota
Description: partial 18S ribosomal RNA
Rfam family: Eukaryotic small subunit ribosomal RNA
Source: RNAcentral